GGAAGGUUGGCAGAGUGAUCGAUCGCGCUGGACUCGAAAUCCGGUAUACCCCUUUCGGGUAUCGGGGGUUUGAAUCCCUCACCUUCCGCCA
This 91-nucleotide transfer RNA is filed under the name Segatella buccae. Its description in RNAcentral is "Prevotella buccae tRNA-Ser(cga)". It matches the Rfam family "tRNA". Rfam says of the family: Transfer RNA (tRNA) molecules are approximately 80 nucleotides in length. Their secondary structure includes four short double-helical elements and three loops (D, anti-codon, and T loops). RNAcentral also lists the same sequence under 6 other names. The record is from RNAcentral. Lineage: Bacteria; Pseudomonadati; Bacteroidota; Bacteroidia; Bacteroidales; Prevotellaceae.